AUUCCAGCUCCAAUAGCGUAUAUUAAUGUUGUUGCAGUUAAAAAGCUCGUAGUUGGAUUCCUGGCACGGGGUAGCCGGUCCGCCUUGCAAAAGGUGCGCACUGAGCGGCCUCGGCCAUCCUUGCGAUGGUCUAUCCUGGCAUUCAGUUGUCGGGGUGGGGAUUCGCGACGUUUACUGUGAAAAAAUCAGAGUGUUCAACGCAGGCUUACGCCUUGAAUACAUUAGCAUGGAAUGAUGAGAUAGGACCUUGGCGGUCUAUUUUGUUGGUUUGCACGCCGAGGUAAUGAUUAAAAGGGACGGUUGGGGUUCUUCGUAUUCAAUUGUCAGAGGUGAAAUUCUUGGAUUUAUGGAAGACGAACUGCUGCGAAAGCGUCGAACAAGGACGUUCUCAUCA
Molecule: ribosomal RNA, 394 nt
Filed under: Aureococcus sp.
Lineage: Eukaryota; Pelagophyceae; Pelagomonadales; Pelagomonadaceae
Description: partial small subunit ribosomal RNA
Rfam family: Eukaryotic small subunit ribosomal RNA
Source: RNAcentral